UGUUUGCAGAAUUGAUUAAUUCGCCAACUAGUUAAUUCAUUGUACUCACCCCCUCUGAUAUAACUAGUUAGAUUUUAACGCACCAAUUCAUUACGGAGCACAAAAAGAAGAAAAAGAAAAACCUACAAACUAAUCAUUGAUGUUUUAUUAUAUUUAAAAUAUUAUUAUUACUUUCUGACCUCACCGUCAGCACUUUUUUUGCUCAUGUUGUUGCUGUUGUUGUGGUCUAGUCGAGUCUUUACUUAUCGUAGUCAUGGCAUGUCACAAAAUCGUAUUUUUCGAAUGUGAGUGUGUUAAUCUAUUUAGCGCUUUGCGGUGCAAAUAUAGAAUGACGACAACAAAGUGCUUAUAUUUUUUUCCUUUUAUAAUAAUUACAUUAACGAGAAAAAAUAACAACGACAACAACAAGACUUAACCUCAAUUUAAACAUAAUGAGAAGUUUCUGGAGCUUUUCUUCACGCUUCAUGCUGCCAUAUAAGGGAAAUUAUGCUUUUUAACUAUUUGUCUAAAUUACUACGUAUGUACGCUUGCCUGCUGAUUCCAAACCACACAUAACAAAAAAAAAUUUUUUUCAAUAUUUCCUAUUUUAAUAUACUCUCUGAAAAACAUUUGAAUGUAUUUGGCAUGGAUGUAUACGUAAAUAAAUACAUGGAAAAAACACAUUUAUGGAUAGAGACACAAACACCGUAAAACCUACAACAAUUUGGUGAUAUUUAUGUGAGCAGAGAAUAAUCAUUAAUAGGCUAUAAAUUGUGUUUAAAGUGCGUAAAAUAUCAAAUGUCUCCGAGUGUAUAAAAAAUAGAAGUAUAAAAACAGAGUCAUUUCUAUAGAAUUCUUGUGCCUUGAAUAUAAGAAUUGAAUAUAAGAGGACGUACAGAGAGUAAUAUGAAAAUACAAGAAAACAUUAACAAGCCAAAGGCUACACAUAAUAAUUAUAAAAAUUGAACAAAAAAAUCAUAAAUACUUCCGUCUUGUCACAAAAAUUGUUAUUAAAAGUGAAACAAAAAAACCAAAACAGUUCGUGUGUUAGAGACCUGUUAAGAGAAACUUAAAACAAGAAAGAGAGAUCUCGAUAAUAUUCUACGGGCUUACACGUUCAACACGCCGGAGGUUUACUUUUCGAAGAUGUUUGAUCUAUUCUUAUAAUCGUUUUUUAAAUAUUGCCACGGGUUUCGUCAACAAAUAUUUCGAUGUCCAACUAGAAUAUACAUAUGUGUAUAUACAUAUGCAUAUUAUGCAAUGAAAUAAAAAAAAUUAUUGAAAUUUUUGUCAAUUAU
This is a long non-coding RNA of Glossina fuscipes, 1277 nucleotides long. RefSeq lists it as uncharacterized. The transcript is spliced from 3 exons. The record is from RefSeq and is a predicted model, not a curated record. NCBI's taxonomy places the organism in Eukaryota, Metazoa, Arthropoda, Insecta, Diptera, Glossinidae.